RNAcentral lists this ribosomal RNA (505 nucleotides) under uncultured bacterium. Its description in RNAcentral is "bacterial SSU rRNA". It matches the Rfam family "Bacterial small subunit ribosomal RNA", at positions 28 to 520 of the family's 1533-position model. The record is from RNAcentral.
GAUGAACGCUAGCUACAGGCUUAACACAUGCAAGUCGAGGGGCAGCAUGAACUUAGCUUGCUAAGUUUGAUGGCGACCGGCGCACGGGUGAGUAACACGUAUCCAACCUUCCGUUUACUCAGGGAUAGCCUUUCGAAAGAAAGAUUAAUACCUGAUAGUAUGGUGAGAUUGCAUGAUAACACCAUUAAAGAUUUAUUGGUAAACGAUGGGGAUGCGUUCCAUUAGGUAGUAGGCGGGGUAACGGCCCACCUAGCCUGCGAUGGAUAGGGGUUCUGAGAGGAAGGUCCCCCCACAUUGGAACUGAGACACGGUCCAAACUCCUACGGGAGGCAGCAGUGAGGAAUAUUGGUCAAUGGGCGAGAGCCUGAACCAGCCAAGUAGCGUGCAGGAUGACGGCCCUAUGGGUUGUAAACUGCUUUUGUACUAGGGUAAACUCACCUACGUGUAGGUGACUGAAAGUAUAGUACGAAUAAGGAUCGGCUAACUCCGUGCCAGCAGCCGACGG